AGGAAACCAACUGGGAUUGCCUUAGUAACGGCGAGUGAAGCGGCAAAAGCUCAAAUUUGAAAUCUGGUACCUUUGGUGCCCGAGUUGUAAUUUGGAGAGUACCACUUUGGGACUGUACUUUGCCUAUGUUCCUUGGAACAGGACGUCAUGGAGGGUGAGAAUCCCGUGUGGCGAGGGUGUCAGUUCUUUGUAAAGGGUGCUCGAAGAGUCGAGUUGUUUGGGAAUGCAGCUCUAAGUGGGUGGUAAAUUCCAUCUAAAGCUAAAUACAGGCGAGAGACCGAUAGCGAACAAGUACAGUGAUGGAAAGAUGAAAAGAACUUUGAAAAGAGAGUGAAAAAGUACGUGAAAUUGUUGAAAGGGAAGGGCAUUUGAUCAGACAUGGUGUUUUGCGCCCCUUGCCUCUCGUGGGCUUGGGACUCUCGCAGCUCACUGGGCCAGCAUCGGUUUUGGCGGCCGGAAAAAACCUAGGGAAUGUGGCUCUGCGCCUCGGUGUAGAGUGUUAUAG
Molecule: ribosomal RNA, 505 nt
Filed under: Nakaseomyces glabratus
Lineage: Eukaryota; Fungi; Ascomycota; Saccharomycetes; Saccharomycetales; Saccharomycetaceae
Description: LSU rRNA
Rfam family: Eukaryotic large subunit ribosomal RNA
Source: RNAcentral